GAAAAAAUAGCAUGUAAGAGGAUAGUAUAUUUUAAAUAAUAUAUUGAAAAGAGUAAAACUGAGUGAAGAAUAAAAUAAACCCUAUGGUGUAUGUCACUUCCAAGGCAUUUUCUCCUACUUUGAAGGUCUUUAAAACAGCAAAAUAAAAACAGACCUCUAACAUUGCCUCAUCAAGGUUGAGAGGGCCACUUGACGGGGAAAGGUUUUAAGCUCUGCUAUUUAUCUAUUUUUAAUUGGUGAAGAGAUUCAAGCCAAUUUUCAAUAUUAUUUACUGUUAAUUGCAUUAGAAAUUUAUGGCAUUGGCUCUAGCAAAUCUCUUCAGUGGUUAUAUAAAAAAAAGUAAAAAAAAUCAGAAUUUCAGCCACAAGAACAACCUUGCAAACCAUGUCCAUACAUGGUAGUCAGUAUCGUGCGUAUCGCACGAAGAUGCAAGUAGACAUUUCUCUUAGUUUAGUGUAACAUCAAGCUGUUUCUAAUUUUUAAUAUCAAAAGAAACAUGUUCCCUUUCUCACUGUUUAUGCUCUAACAAUUUUCACUAUGUAUACCUUCAUUCCAAUAAUGAAGAACAAUUCGGGCAGCAGCUUCAGUGUCAACUAUUCCACCCUUCUUGAGCUUGCCCCUAACUGUAGAAACCUUCUGUAGGAAGUCAUCAACAGAAUCAAAACUUGGAAUCUUAUAAAGAAGUACCAGCAGCUUGGACGGACAAAGCUUGAAAAACUCCUUCACUGCAUCGUCCAUGAAGGACAGAAUUAGAUUUACCAAUAUAGCUUGGAAGUCAGGAUUUCAACAUUAAGGUUCUCAUAAAUACAAAAAAGUGUUAAGGUGCCAACUUCAAAGCACUUGAGAGUAGACUUCCACAACUUCAAUAGAGAGAACUUCAAUUUAUAUCUAUAAACAGAAUGGAGGGAUGUAUCGAAGAUAAGAGAUCCACCAAAACAAAAAAUCAACUACGUACCAAGGGACCAAUGCAACUAGUAAAAACUGCCAUGAGGAAAACAUUAAAGAGAAGCAACUAACAUAAACUUAUCCUACUACCAAGAUUAAGUUCAAAUGCACCAAAGAAUGACACACACAAACUGCACAUUUUCAUAGAUGUAAAAAGUGUAUUUCUUCCAUGUUGCAAGUUCAUCUGAUUUUUCCUAUUUUAUUUACAUUAAAAUCAAACAAAGCUUUGACCAUCCACUGCAACAUCUUUACUACAAUACACAGAACCUAAAUAAGCAGAGACUAAUUAGUAAUGGGAACAAAUGCCUUAAUACCUGGGCUAAUGGGAUCAUCUAAUUUCUCAAUUCUCUUGCAAUUCUUUAAUGCGAUAGAACUGUCAUUUUCUUGAGACUUUAGCAUAACAACACCAGGGCAAUCCAGCAAUUUAACAUUUUUGUCCAAUUGAACCUCUUGCAUUGAUCGUGUUAACCCGGGAGUAGCACCAACAUUGACAACAUGGCAUCUCUUUAAGCUAUUAAUAAGACUGCUCUUACCAACAUUGGGCAGGCCAAUCAAACCCACAGUGAUUGACUUCUUGAUCUGUCGAGACAAGGAUGCAAAAAUAAAUGAAUUAAAUUUAGAUAGACAACAAAUGGUCUCAAAUCAAAUAAACAAACAUAAAAAUAACAAAACAAUUAACAGAUAAGCACUAAGAGUAUAAGACUAGAAGAGAAGGUGCAAGUAUUAGGGAAAAAGAAUAUAAUUAGUCCAAUGCAAAAUCCCCGAUGGAUAGCAAUAACACUUAAAGGAGGCACACCAUAGCAACCCUUCCAACUUAGAAGAUUUAAAUAUAGUUUAGAACCCAGUAGGUAGAAAAUAAAAAUAUAAUGGAAUACCUGAACCUUAAAGGCAGGAUGAUGAAGAAUCAAACAAAUGGAAGAAUAUUAAAUAACGAAGAUAUAAAUUUAAACCAAUCAAAGGGAAACAUAGAAAAUUAAAGUAAAGCUGAUGAGAUGAAAAGGGCAUCCAUAAUAUAGAAAAUACAGAUGCCAAUAAUAAGACAAAAACAGGUUUCUCUAACAUCAGAUCCCAAGUCCAAACUAGUGUUGACAUCAUCAAUGUGUAUCUUUUUUCUUUGCUUUUUAUGCCAGAAGAGCACAAUACACAUCCACAGAGAUUUCUUUAAACUGAAUUAAGCAUAGAAUAAAAAGAAAAUUGCAUAGGUUCUCCAUUCCUCCUCAAGUAUAUACAGUAAUAUACCAUAUUUUUAUUUUGUAAUUAAUAAAAAAACAGUAAUAUACUAUAUUAAAAGCACAAACUCCUCAAAAGUACUAUACAUCUUUUACUUAGAUUUUAUAUUUUGUUUGAUGCAUUGGAAUACCAUGUCCCCGUGUUUAAGUUUCCUUAUCAGUAGAUGGAAUCCUAAAAAACAUGAGUCAAAUAAACUAGCAUGGCAAAAAAAUGAUACAAGAAACACUAAGAAUAGCAAAGCCUAUUUGACUCCCAUACCCAUAUUGAAUACACAUUACAAAAUGUGUAAGAAACUUGUAUGAAGUGCAUCAAGUUGUAGCAACAGCAAACCUAGCACUCUCAAAAAUCCCAAUCUAUCUCAAGAGAUCCAGAUCCCCUCCCCCCCGACAUACAAAAACUAAGAACGCAGGAAGGCCACAUAAUCUCUACAUAUUUGAGAUGCUAAUUCCAUGGGAGCAACCAUAAGCAGUUCACUACUGAGGUGCCUAAAUCACAUCCUACCUCAUGUAUCAACUCUACAUAAUAAGCACCUCAAGUACAGCACAAACUUUUGACAUUAUAAUUUUACAAGCAGCUAUUACUGCUGAACUACAAUUCAACUACUUCCAAUAAACACUUGCAAACCAUUCUUGAAUAAAAUAGAAAAUUAGAAAUUUAGAUGAAACCGUAUAUAUCAAUGUAGAGAAAGAAGCAUAUACAUAAACAUAAACAAAGACAAUAAAGAGAAAGGGCAGGAAAAGCUUGAGCGUAAGACUCAUGAACUUCCAAUAAACACUCAACAACUUUACAAGAAAAAACACUACUUGGACCAAAAAAAAUCACUGUUCCAUAUUAUAUGUUACCUCAUGACUUCUUGAGUAAUUCUUCAACAAUUUGAGGAGAGUAUCAGCUCCAAGACAAUCACUUAAUUGCAAAAUAUUACUUGGUUUGGCUGCUUUAGAAGACUUCCACCCUAGGUUUGAUCUUUGUUGCUGGGUGCUGCACUUGAAAGCCACAGUAGGUAAUUCUUCUCUAAGGUACUUGAGCCACUUCUCUACAGCUUCUCGUGGGACAAGAUCUAAGAGCACAAUUGAUUAGUCAAUGUAAAUAUAAAAAUAUUACUAAAAGGUGAAAAGUGAGAAAAAAAGGUAAGCAUAGAAGUUACCAAUUUUGUUUAAAAGCAACACAAGAUGAUUAUCAGGUCACAUUUUCAUCACCAUAUUUUCUAUAUCGAUAAAACGAGAACACAACGGAUCUCGGGCAUCAAGGACCUCUAGUAAAACAUCAGAGGCUUCAAUGACCUUUACCAAAUCCUUGUAAAAGGCCCUAUCAGAGGUAUCUAUGGCAAAAGAAUACAAGAACUGCAAUUAGUGGAGGCAAAACAGAUUUGACCUAAACCAAUUUUUUAGCUCAUUAAUAAAAAACACCUCUGGUCUUCCCAACAGUAGCAAAAUCUUUAGUAUCACUAACAACCACUUUGGAACUAUCAUCGUCCUCUUGCAAACCCAAUUUCCUUUUUCGAGCCUGAAACAAGAGUUAGGCAUAGUUAAGUUUCAGAAAUAUAAGAAAAAUGGCACUACAACUGCAUACAAGACGAAAAAGAAAUUCUAAAUUUUGAAAAUGCCAUUGAUGUCAUGUCAGGCAUAACACACAUAAGUAGUGACACAUACAUCAUCAUCAUCUUUGAUUUGAAUGGAGUGUAACAAAACUGCUAAAAAAGUGUGUUUUUGAGUGUUUAUUGAUCCUAUCUUAUUAUCAAUAGACAUAAAUCCUAUAGGUUUAGUAUAUUAUUAACUUCAGAAGCAGUACAGCUUACAAGUUAUAAGGAAACCUACGGCUACGGGUAUGUUUGGGAUAGAGAAAUUUAGAUGAAGAGAGAAAAAAGGAAGAGUAAAUUAUUCAUUUCAUGUAAUUUCAAUUCAAUAAUCUCUACUUCAACAUUUUUUUGUAAUUAAAGGAAUAAAACUAUAUCUUCAUGAAGUCUUCUAAUCAUUUUCUAUUGAUUUUUAUAUCAUACAACUCUAACUCCUAAAAUUAAGACUCCAUUUUUCCUUUCCUUUGAUGGCGAGCCUUGAGGACAACAGAUGGAAUUACUACCAUACCAUGUACUAACAAGGCUGACUUUAAGGAAUUAACCUCUUGCAAGCAUGAUAAAGCUUUCCCUAGACCUUGCCCUGGCAUUAGGUUAGUCUUUAAAGCACUAGGUAAUUGUCCUUCCCUUCCCCUCCAUACAACGCAAACACACACACUAAUAGUUCAUAUCAUAACUAAAUAAGGAAACAAAAAAACCUAAGGUCCACAAAAGUGAUAAAACCAAGGUCACUAAAAAGUCUAAUCCAAUUACUCCCUCUUUUUUCUUCAUUUUUUUACAAUUCACAAUCAAUCAAUUUUCUUUCUCUCUGAACAUGCAUCCUCCACCUUGCCCUUCUUAGACUCUCUCUGCUUUUUCUUAUGUUCAUCCUAGCGACGACGUCUGCAGUCAUUCCUUUACUGAGAGCCUUCGUUUCAUACUGCUUGUGGCAGGUGUCAAAUCGGCACUACCAAAUCUUAGCAACCACACCCACUCCACUUGAACUCCACCGGUUCUUCUGAGCACCGGAACCCCCAGCCAUUGGAUCUCUGCCAUUAGCGAGAGAAAGAGCGAGAAAAGUGAUGAAAAGAACGGUGACAAGAAAUAGAGUUUGAGAAAGGGUAAAGUUGAGCAGGAGAAAAGACAAAAAUGGUGGUUUACCGACUUGAGAGAGAGUGUUGCAGCCUGAAGAAGAGUCUAGGGAUGCGUGAGUAAUGAAGGUGGAGUAAUUAACUACUACCUACUCAUGAGACUCACAAAUCAUCAGGCUGCGACCCUAGCUCAGGUCAAAUCACAUUCUCAGCUAAACCACUUUUUUUUAUGGCUCAACUCUACCCUUUCUUAAACUCACUUUCUAUAUUUGCAUUUCUUGGCCGAUCCUUUCAUCUCGCUCGGAUGUUAAGACAAUGCUAGAGGAACUGAACUUAAUAAAGAUUCAAUGGUGACCAAUCAUUCAUCAACCUGAAUACCAGACAUUGGCACCUCAGAGUUGACUUGUUCAUCAUCUUCAUCCUCAUUGUUGCUCCCUUCAGCAUCCAUUGUGGAUCCCUUUUUGAAGCAACACACUUUGACGUCACACUCAUUUCUUCUUCUCUGCUCGCCUAAGUUUCGGAUUAAGUAUACCAUCGGCUGUAUAUAAUUUCUCAUUUUGUCUACUAGCUGCACUGUUCCCCUUGUUCUUGCUAGCAUCACCAUUAUCAUCUUCCAUAGCUUCAUCACUAUCAUUGUCAGCCAUGUUCUCAGGAUCCUCUUGUUCUGACGGUUUAACUUGCUGAUCAUCCUAGAAAGAAAAAAAUAGCUUGUAAGAAGAUAAGAUGUUUUAAUUGGUAAAUUGUAAAGGGUAAAACUGAGUGAAGAAUAAGAUAAACAAUGUCAUUUCCAAAGCACUUUCUCCCUAUUUAUAAGGUUUUUAAAACAGCAACAUAAAAAACAGACCUCUAGCAUCGCCUCAUCAAGGUUGAGAGGGCCACUUGACGGAACUUCAACAGGAUCGAAGGCAUCAGCAGAUUUAAGACUCCCAAUAAAUGAAGAUUCACUAUUGUAGACAUCAUCAAUGUUAAACUCUUUAGCAAACUCUGAAACUAUCUUGGCCUCUGAAA
Molecule: long non-coding RNA, 5823 nt
Filed under: Lotus japonicus
Lineage: Eukaryota; Viridiplantae; Streptophyta; Magnoliopsida; Fabales; Fabaceae
Description: long non-coding RNA (LJAP_LNC001040)
Source: RNAcentral